CUUGUCUGGGGCUACAAUAUAAAUGUGUACUGUUGGGGUAACACUGUGCUAGGCCAACAAGCGGAUAAGGCAGUGAUGUAGGAACGCCGGAUGUCCCAACUCCACCAUUUCCUUCAUGCCAAACUGACUUUUUUUAUGUACAGACGUGUAAACUGGAACAUUGGUACAUUGUGGGAGGCAACCAGUCUGUCUAGAGAGACUACCAUCUGGCAAAAGCAUAUACAGUCGACCCUCUACCUCCCCAUUGCCACCAGCUGAAGAUCACAUCUUCUGAUCCUCUUUCACCCAGCUGGAGGAGUUCUGAUUCUAGCUUUCCAUCAAAUGGCUACCUGCCAUUCUGCCGCCUGGCUCCGGGGAUCAUCCUCCGGAAGAUGGGUUCAUCACCAAAAUAUAUUUUCAUUAACUUUCACAUUUGCAUUCAGUUUUUGUUGUUCAUUCAGUUAAGCCUGUAUUCGAUUGAACUAAAGUACAUUUAUAUCAUAUGAAGGUUCUCAAAGAAAUCCAUUUGUCUCCUAAAAUAAACCUUUUUGAAGAAAAUUACCGUACAAGGAUGGUGG
Molecule: long non-coding RNA, 557 nt
Filed under: Salmo salar (Atlantic salmon)
Lineage: Eukaryota; Metazoa; Chordata; Actinopteri; Salmoniformes; Salmonidae
Description: lncRNA (ENSSSAG00000096631.1)
Source: RNAcentral